This 847-nucleotide small RNA is filed under the name Pan troglodytes (chimpanzee). RNAcentral describes it as "retained intron". Lineage: Eukaryota; Metazoa; Chordata; Mammalia; Primates; Hominidae. The record is from RNAcentral.
GUGAUUAUGUAGUUGAUAUACAAAGUAAUGACGGUGGGCCUUCAAGAAGAGGUUAAAAUACAUUCAUUAUAUUAACGAGUGCAUCUUAGAAAGAUUUCUUUCAAAAAGUAGUUGAAGUUUUUUUGCUUUAAGGAGUAAAUCUCAAUCAUCUGGAAAUUUAACUUCUGUGGAAUACCUCUUUACAUCUUAAAGGAAAUGUUAAUGCAUUAUAUUGAGGUUAUUAUUGCAAUGGAAUUUUCAAAAAUGUGAGUGUGCUUUUUUGUCUCUAGAAUCUAUAAGACACAUAUCUGUUCCAGGUAUAGUGUCUACUAAGACAAUUUCACAAUCCAAAAAAUAGUUGGUUAGCAAGGAUAUCAAGUACAACACAGAGACUAGCAAAGAGGGAAGGCUAUGAAAUAAAAUGCUUAUAGAUGGCUAGUCUCAUAUCUCUGCUUUAUUCCUAUAAAUGUAUCUCAUGAUAUAUGUAAUCAGAAUUAUAGUUAUUUAAUCUCCUCCUUUUUUGUCCAUUGCCUCUUUUAGGUCCAUGGUUUUUUGGUGAAAUCAUUGAUGGCAAAUUUGGUUGCUGCUUUUCCUUUGGGAUAUUUGUUAAUGGACAUUUCCUACAAGGCAGCAUAACAUUUAUAAUUGGAAUUCUCCAGCUGGCGUUUUUUAACAUCCCCUUGAUGGCUUACAUGUGUUGGAGCUUGCUGCAGCGGUGCUUUGGUCACAACUUCAGGUCUCAUCUCCAUCAAAGAAAAUACUUGAAAAUUAUGCCUGUUCACCUACUUAUGCUACUGCUGUACAUCUGGCAGGUUUAUUCCUGCUACUUUCUUUAUGCAACAUACGGCACCCUAGCUUUUUUAUUCUC